CGAACGCUGGCGGCGUGCUUAACACAUGCAAGUCGAACGCGAAAGGGACUUCGGUCCUGAGUAAAGUGGCGCACGGGUGAGUAACGCGUAGAUAACCUGUCUUCAUGUCUGGAAUAAUACGCCAAAGGGGUACUAAUACCGGAUAUUCUUGCUUUUCAUAAGUUAUGCAAGCAAAGGUGGCCUCUGCAUAUGCUACUGCAUGAAGAGGGGUCUGCGUACCAUUAGCUAGUAGGUGGGGUAAUGGCCUACCUAGGCGACGAUGGUUAGCGGGUCUGAGAGGAUGAUCCGCCACACUGGCACUGGAACACGGGCCAGACUCCUACGGGAGGCAGCAGUGAGGAAUAUUGCGCAAUGGGGGAAACCCUGACGCAGCGACGCCGCGUGAGUUGAGGAAGGCCUUCGGGUCGUAAAGCUCUGUCAAGAGGAAAGAAGUGUACAAUGGCUAAUACCUGUUGUAUUUGACGGUACCUCUAAAGGAAGCACCGGCUAACUCCGUGCCAGCCGCCGC
RNAcentral lists this ribosomal RNA (508 nucleotides) under uncultured bacterium. RNAcentral describes it as "bacterial SSU rRNA". It matches the Rfam family "Bacterial small subunit ribosomal RNA", at positions 30 to 518 of the family's 1533-position model. The record is from RNAcentral.